AUAGGUGGACCAUACUAAGUCGGCAAAGUUCAUGAAAAUUAUGCGGAAUGUGGGCGAGAUGAAGUAGAAGUUGAUCAUCUGAGCUGGAGGCCAAAAACACCAGUCAGCCUGCAGUGUCUUCCUCCAUGACAGCCAUACCUGCAAUAAAAAGUUGUCUGUCAGAUAUGCGUCAGCGCCACGCUUCAUCAAAGCCGACUUCAGUGAUGCCCUCUGCCCCCAGUCACAUGUCUUUGUUUUCUCACACACGGAGCACCGCAUAUGAAAGAGGGAAAGCCAAGCCC
Molecule: long non-coding RNA, 281 nt
Organism: Perca flavescens (yellow perch)
Lineage: Eukaryota; Metazoa; Chordata; Actinopteri; Perciformes; Percidae
Exons: 3
Source: RefSeq, a predicted model, not a curated record